This 468-nucleotide ribosomal RNA is filed under the name uncultured bacterium. Its description in RNAcentral is "partial 16S ribosomal RNA". It matches the Rfam family "Bacterial small subunit ribosomal RNA", at positions 28 to 507 of the family's 1533-position model. The record is from RNAcentral.
GACGAACGCUGGCGGCGUGCCUAACACAUGCAAGUCGAACGAAAAGACCCUGCUUUUGUGCGGUGCUCGUUAGCCGAACGGGUGAGUAUCACGUGUGUAACAUCUCCCUGAAUUUGGGAUAAAUUCAGGAAAAACGGGCUCUUACCCCAUAGGAUCUCCUGCUGCUUGGUGGGGGUUGGAAAGAUGCGGCGGUUGGGGAUGGAAUAGCGGCUUAUCGGCUGGUUGGUGGGGUAGUGGCUUACCAAGGCAUUGACGGCUAGCCGGCCUGAGAGGGGGACCGGCGACAAGAGGACUGCGAGACGGCCCAGACUCCAACGGGAGGCAGCAGGGGAGAGUAUGACACAGUGAGCGGGAGCCAGAUACGACAACGCCGCGUUCGGGAUGACGGGCUUCGGGGUGUAAACCGCUGUCGCCGUAGACGAAGCGGUCUUGACGGUAAUGAGUAAAGAAGCACCGGCUAACUACGUG